GACGUAGGGUGCAAGCGUUGUCCGGAUUUACUGGGCGUAAAGAGCUCGUAGGCGGUGUGUCGCGUCGGCCGUGAAAACCUGCAGCUUAACUGUGGGCUUGCGGUCGAUACGGGCAUCACUGGAGUUCGGCAGGGGAGACUGGAAUUCCUGGUGUAGCGGUGAAAUUCGUAGAUAUCGGGAGGAACACCAGUGGCGAAGGCGGCGACCUGGGCCAAUAUUGACGCUGAGGUGCGAAAGCGUGGGGAGCAAACAGG
Molecule: ribosomal RNA, 254 nt
Filed under: uncultured bacterium
Lineage: Bacteria
Description: partial 16S ribosomal RNA
Rfam family: Bacterial small subunit ribosomal RNA
Source: RNAcentral